RNAcentral lists this ribosomal RNA (459 nucleotides) under uncultured bacterium. RNAcentral's name for it is "partial 16S ribosomal RNA". It matches the Rfam family "Bacterial small subunit ribosomal RNA", at positions 338 to 795 of the family's 1533-position model. The record is from RNAcentral.
CCUACGGGCGACAGCAGUGAGGAAUAUUGGUCAAUGGUCGGGAGACUGAACCAGCCAAGCCGCGUGAGGGAGGAAGGUACAGAGUAUCGUAAACCUCUUUUGUCAGGGAACAAAGGCGGGGACGUGUCCCCGGAUGAGUGUACCUGAAGAAAAAGCAUCGGCUAACUCCGUGCCAGCAGCCGCGGUAAUACGGAGGAUGCGAGCGUUAUCCGGAUUUAUUGGGUUUAAAGGGUGCGCAGGCGGUCUGGUAAGUCAGCGGUAAAAUCCCGGGGCUCAACCCCGGCCCGCCGUUGAAACUGGCAGUCUAGAGUUGGAGAGAAGUAUGCGGAAUGCGCGGUGUAGCGGUGAAAUGCAUAGAUAUCGCGCAGAACUCCGAUUGCGAAGGCAGCAUGCCGGCUCCACACUGACGCUGAGGCACGAAAGCGUGGGUAUCGAACAGGAUUAGAUACCCCAGUAGUC